Molecule: ribosomal RNA, 253 nt
Filed under: uncultured bacterium
Lineage: Bacteria
Description: partial 16S ribosomal RNA
Rfam family: Bacterial small subunit ribosomal RNA
Source: RNAcentral
UACGUAGGGUGCAAGCGUUAUCCGGAAUCACUGGGCGUAAAGCGUGCGUAGGUGGAUGUUUAAGUGAGAUGUUAAAUCGUGUGGCUCAACCAUAUCGAUGCAUCUCAUACUGGGCAUCUAGAGGACAGCAGAGGCAAGUGGAAUUGGUAGUGUAGCAGUGAAAUGCGUAGAUAUUACCAGGAACACCAAUGGCGAAGGCAGCUUGCUGGGCUACUCCUGACACUGAGGCACGAAGGCCAGGGGAGCAAACGGG